CAACGGUGAAACUCAAAGGAAUUGACGGGGCCCGCACAAGCGGAGGAACAUGUGGUUUAAUUCGAUGAUACGCGAGGAACCUUACCCGGGCUCAAACGCAUACUGACGACAGUUGAAAGAUUGUUUCCCUUCGGGGCAUUAUGCGAGGUGCUGCAUGGUUGUCGUCAGCUCGUGCCGUGAGGUGUCGGCUUAAGUGCCAUAACGAGCGCAACCCCUAUCGACAGUUGCUAACGAGUAGAGUCGAGGACUCUGUCGAGACUGCCGGCGCAAGCUGUGAGGAAGGCGGGGAUGACGUCAAAUCAGCACGGCCCUUACGUCCGGGGCGACACACGUGUUACAAUGGCAGGGACAGCGGGAAGCCACCAAGCGAUUGGGCGCGGAACCCGAAACCCUGUCUCAGUUCGGAUUGGAGUCUGCAACUCGACUCCAUGAAGCUGGAUUCGCUAGUAAUCGCGCAUCAGCCAUGGCGCGGUGAAUACGUUCCCGGGCCUUGUACACACCGCCCGUCAAGCCAUGGGGG
Molecule: ribosomal RNA, 520 nt
Filed under: uncultured Bacteroidota bacterium
Lineage: Bacteria; Pseudomonadati; Bacteroidota
Description: bacterial SSU rRNA
Rfam family: Bacterial small subunit ribosomal RNA
Source: RNAcentral